RNAcentral lists this unclassified non-coding RNA (148 nucleotides) under uncultured Cryptosporiopsis. Its description in RNAcentral is "sequence contains ITS2". The record is from RNAcentral. Lineage: Eukaryota; Fungi; Ascomycota; Leotiomycetes; Helotiales; Dermateaceae.
CAACCCUCAAGCUCUGCUUGGUAUUGGGCGUCACCGGUUCCGGUGUGCUCUAAAAUCAGUGGCGGCGCCGUCUGGCUCUAAGCGUAGUACAUACUCUCGCUAUAGACGUCAGUUGGAUGCUUGCCAGCCAACCCCCAAUUUUUUAAGG